CUGGUCUCCUCCGAGGGGGGCAACGUGCACACCCGAGCUCACAACAAACCCCCAUGGGCUUUCGGGCCCGUGGAACCCCCCACAACACCCCGUCUUAUACAGAAUGUUUUUUUUUUUGAAUAGUACAUCGCCUUAAAAAAGUGAUGGAACCUUAUACAACUUUCAACAACGGAUCUCUUGGCUCUCGCAUCGAUUAAAAACGCAACGAAAUGCGAUAAGUAAUGUGAAUUGCAAAUUUUCAGUGAAUCAUCGAAUCUUUGAACGCACCUUGCGCCCCUUGGUAUUCCGAGGGGCAUGCCUGUUUGAGUGUCAUUAAAUCCUCAACCCCAUCGACCUCUGUCGUGUUUUGGGGCUUGGACUUGGGGCGUGCUGGCGAUCUACCUCGGCUCCCCUUUAAAUGCAUCAGUUGAAGGAGGAGCUCGAUCAUUUUCUCUCUUUUGUCGGGGGAUCAUGGACCGUUCGGUGUGAUA
This 470-nucleotide unclassified non-coding RNA is filed under the name uncultured Basidiomycota. RNAcentral's name for it is "partial contains 18S rRNA, ITS1, 5.8S rRNA and ITS2". The stretch from base 158 to 312 matches the Rfam family "5.8S ribosomal RNA". Lineage: Eukaryota; Fungi; Basidiomycota. The record is from RNAcentral.